AGAGUUUGAUCAUGGCUCAGGAUGAACGUUGGCGGUGUGCCUAAUACAUGCAAGUCGAACGGAGUUAAUAGCAAUAUUGACUUAGUGGCGAACGGGUGAGUAACGCGUUGGUGAUCUGCCUCGAAGUGUGGAAUAACGUUCCGAAAGGAUCGCUAAUACCGCAUGUGCUCUCGAUUUUUAGAAAGUUGAGAGUAAAGGAUUUAUUCGCUUCGAGAGGAGCCUGCGUCCCAUCAGCUGGUUGGUAGGGUAACGGCCUACCAAGGCUAUGACGGGUAGGGGACCUGAGAGGGUGGCCCCCCACAAUGGAACUGAAACACGGUCCAUACACCUACGGGUGGCAGCAGUAGGGAAUAUUAGAAAUGGACGAAAGUCUGAUCUAGCAACACCGCGUGUGCGAAGAAGGCCUUCGGGUCGUAAAGCACUUUUUGGAAGGAAUAGGAAGGAAUGUACUUCCAGAAUAAGUCUCGGCUAACUACGUGCCAGCAGCCGCGGUAACACGUAGGAGGCAAACGUUAUCCGGAUUUACUGGGCGUAAAGCGCGUGUAGGUGGUACUGUAAGUAGGGCGUGAAAGCUCCCGGCUCAACUGGGAGAGGCCGUUCUAAACUGCAGUACUAGAGGAUGGUAGAGGGAGGUGGAAUUCCAGGUGUAGCGGUGGAAUGCGCAGAUAUCUGGAGGAACACCAGUGGCGAAGGCGGCCUCCUGGACCAUUCCUGACACUCAGACGCGAAAGCUAGGGUAGCAAACGGGAUUAGAGACCCCGGUAGUCCUAGCCCUAAACGAUGUAGACUAGGCGUCGGUGGUUUAAUCACCAUCGGUGUCCAAGCUAACGCGAUAAGUCUACCGCCUGGGGACUACGGCCGCAAGGUUAAAACUCAAAUGAAUUGACGG
RNAcentral lists this ribosomal RNA (889 nucleotides) under Anaerolineaceae bacterium enrichment culture clone B6_153. Its description in RNAcentral is "bacterial SSU rRNA". It matches the Rfam family "Bacterial small subunit ribosomal RNA", at positions 8 to 916 of the family's 1533-position model. Lineage: Bacteria; Bacillati; Chloroflexota; Anaerolineae; Anaerolineales; Anaerolineaceae. The record is from RNAcentral.